AAAUGCAUACAACAUGGUCAAAAGUGCAAAAGAGGAACUUGUUAAAAUAUUAAUUCUGCCCGACUUUUUAAGAGCGAUACACAGAAUUAUAUGCAUGGGGAAAAUUUUAUGCACGAGUGUUUAGGUAUCGCACUGUCAUCAUUUCCAAAUAAAGAAUUUUCAAGCGGGGCAAAAGGCGAAUCCAUUUGAAUUUGCAAAAUUCUACAUGAAGAAACAAGAAAAUGUAUGGAUAAGAUAUUUGAUUAUCGUAAAACAAAGAAUUUGGGAAACGUCCCUUGAUAAUAUGCUUUUCUCCUCACUGGACAAAUCGAGGGAAGCCAUCAACAGUGACUGUUCUACAUAUACAUUUGGAUCCAUAUUAUAUUCCACAAUUCAUUCCAAAUCUGCAGCCAAUCUGUGCCUUCUUUUAUUGCAUUGGCCACUUGACAAAUUAUAUGCUAGAAUAUAGUAGCCACUAGCCAGUAGGUAUAAUGCAUUAAUGCAUUAUUAAAAAAGAUUCUAAAGAUAUUUUGUGUUAACACCCAAGUUCAUUAGAAAUGUGAUAAGAGGUUAUAUAUGAAGUUGAAUACAUAUAUUACAAAAUGCUUACUUACAUGCAAACCUUUUGGACUUGGAUUAAAAUUUCAACAACAUGCAGAGACAGCGGAUGUUUUCCUGGUCUUUUAUUAACUGCUGACUAGUAGCAUCAGGCUCUAGAUGUCUUUGAAAAGGUGUUUUUAAAACACAAAUAUGUAUCAUAACCUGUUGGACAUAACCCAUGAGGUUGCAUGUAGAUGGCAAUAACACAAAGAACACUAAAUAUAAUUAUUGCCUAGCAAUCUCUGUAACCCCCUCCUCUCUAUCUAUGACAGUGUGCAACACCAUACAUGAAUUAUAAUUGUAAUAUGGUAUAAUAUAAUUAUAGUGUAUAUAUGAAUUAUAUUUCAAAUUAAAUUUUAA
Dendronephthya gigantea is the source of this 939-nucleotide long non-coding RNA. RefSeq lists it as uncharacterized. NCBI's taxonomy places the organism in Eukaryota, Metazoa, Cnidaria, Anthozoa, Malacalcyonacea, Nephtheidae. The record is from RefSeq and is a predicted model, not a curated record. The transcript is spliced from 2 exons.